CGUACACUCCUGCGGGAGGCAGCAGUGGGGAAUAUUGGACAAUGGGCGCAAGCCUGAUCCAGCCAUGCCGCGUGAGUGAUGAAGGCCCUAGGGUUGUAAAGCUCUUUCACCGGAGAAGAUAAUGACGGUAUCCGGAGAAGAAGCCCCGGCUAACUUCGUGCCAGCAGCCGCGGUAAUACGAAGGGGGCUAGCGUUGUUCGGAAUUACUGGGCGUAAAGCGCACGUAGGCGGAUCGAUCAGUCAGGGGUGAAAUCCCAGGGCUCAACCCUGGAACUGCCUUUGAUACUGUCGAUCUGGAGUAUGGAAGAGGUGAGUGGAAUUCCGAGUGUAGAGGUGAAAUUCGUAGAUAUUCGGAGGAACACCAGUGGCGAAGGCGGCUCACUGGUCCAUUACUGACGCUGAGGUGCGAAAGCGUGGGGAGCAAACAGGAUUAGAUACCCCGUGUAGUCCCAUGAU
Molecule: ribosomal RNA, 456 nt
Filed under: uncultured organism
Description: partial 16S ribosomal RNA
Rfam family: Bacterial small subunit ribosomal RNA
Source: RNAcentral